Molecule: ribosomal RNA, 915 nt
Filed under: uncultured marine archaeon
Lineage: Archaea
Description: bacterial SSU rRNA
Rfam family: Archaeal small subunit ribosomal RNA
Source: RNAcentral
UUCCGGUUGAUCCUGCCGGAGGCUACCGCUAUUGGAGUUCGAUUAAGCCAUGCGAGUCGCGAGUCUUAGGGACUCGGCGUACCGCUCAGUAACACGUGGGUAACCUGCCCUAUGCUGGGGGAUAACCUCGGGAAACUGAGAAUAAUACCCCAUAGUUCACCACGCCUGGAACGGUGGGUGGACCAAAGCUCCGGCGGCAUAGGAUGGGCCUGCGGCGUAUCAGGUUGUAGGGGGUGUAAUGUACCCUCUAGCCCUCUACGCGUACGGGUGUUGAGAGACAUCGCCCGGAGAUGGAUUCUGAGACACGAAUCCAGACCCUACGGGGUGCAGCAGGCGCGAAAACUUGGCAAUGCGAGAAAUCGUGACCAGGGAACUCCAAGUGCAUCGGGUAAGACCGAUGCUUUUCUUGACUCUUCAAAGGUCUUGGAAUAAGGGGUGGGUAAGGACGGUGCCAGCCGCCGCGGUAAUACCGGCGCCCCAAGUGGUAGUCGCUUUUAUUGGGCCUAAAACGUCCGUAGCCGGUCUGGUACAUUCGUGGGUAAAUCAACCAGCUCAACUGGUUGAAUUCUGCGAGCACGGCCAGACUUGGGACCGGGAGAGGUGUGGGGUACUCUCAGGGUAGGGGUAAAAUCCUGUCAUCCUGAGAGGACCACCUGUUGCGAAGGCGCCACACUAGAACGGAUCCGACGGUCAGGGACGAAGCCUAGGGGCACGAACCGGAUUAGAUACCCGGGUAGUCCUAGGUGUAAACGCUGUGGACUUGAUGUUGGGGGCGCUCCGAGCGCACUCAGUGUCGAAGCGAAGGUGAUAAGUCCACUGCCUGGGGAGUACGGUCGCAAGGCUGAAACUUAAAGGAAUUGGCGGGGGAGCACCGCAACCUGAGGAUUGUGCGGUUUAAUUGGAGUCAACGCCGGA